GUGGCAGCCAGAGGCUAGAGGUCUGAGUCCAAAUGAGUAGCAGCUCCAAGAAGUUCAUUUUCUUGACCUUUGGAGCAUGCUGUAUGGUGCCAGGUUCUAACAACAGUACUGUUCUCUCUAAUUUAGGUUCUGAUUCUGGAUUUGGAUCCACAUGAUGAACUCUCCAAGGCUCCAACCACAGAUCUGAUAGCAGGAUCAAGGUCCUGAACUCUAAAUAACUGAGUUAGCAAUUGUGUCAUCUUCUGCAUACAAUGCAGCACCAAACCCAAUUGGAAGAAAGAAACAAGGAGAGGAGAACCCAAAUUAGAUGCAUCUGGCUCCUUCAAAGCAUACUGAAUUUCAGCAAAGAACAACCGCAGUUCCGUUGUAAUUGGAAAUGAGCCUGAAAACACCAGAUGUGAGGCCUGCACAACUGGACCAAGGGGUCGGGGGGGAAAUGUGCACUUUAGUUUCUGCUCUUGUAUUAAGGUUGCCACAGGGAUACCACAGUGCCUUCCUAUGACUUAGUAAAUUUAAGUGUGCACAUGACUUCCACAAUUCAAAAACUAGCUGUGUCCCUCUUAGAUCAACAAGAGAAAUGGUUAAAGCAGCAUAA
This 595-nucleotide long non-coding RNA is filed under the name Crocodylus porosus (Australian saltwater crocodile). Its description in RNAcentral is "lncRNA (ENSCPRG00005006642.1)". Lineage: Eukaryota; Metazoa; Chordata; Crocodylia; Crocodylidae. The record is from RNAcentral.